This 333-nucleotide ribosomal RNA is filed under the name Triticum aestivum (bread wheat). RNAcentral describes it as "partial small subunit ribosomal RNA". The record is from RNAcentral. Lineage: Eukaryota; Viridiplantae; Streptophyta; Magnoliopsida; Poales; Poaceae.
AUGAUGAGCAGACCCAAGCGCCUCAAAGACUUCCUGCAGGAGGAGAAAUUGUACACAUUUGUUGGUUUCAGCAUUGGAGGUGACAAGCGGAUGCUGGGGGAGUCUGGUUUGGAAAUCAACCCCAACAACUUCAUCGACAUGCAGCGCAAGUGGAAAGAUCCAAAGACCAAAAAAUACUACGACUCCUUGGCCGAUGUUGCAAGCGGAGUCAUCCACCCAUUCUAUAGAGGCAUGAAGAAUAAAAUGAAGAGGGAUGACCACAAACUGUGGGGGACCAGCCCGCUGCGAGACAACCUCAUCACAUACGCAGGAAUAGAUGCGUAUGCAAUGUAA